UAAUAUCCCGGGAUUUCCAAAUAAUAAAAAAAAAAUAUAUAAAAAAAAAAAAAAUAAAAAAAUAAAUAAGUUAACUAGAAACGAAAGUGAAGUAACAUGGCGACAGUUAUGGUUCCCGAUAAAGUACUGAAAAACUGGAACGAAAUAGGACGCAAAGACUUAUUGAGUUUAUGUAGCACUCCACCAAAGAAGAUGAGUUCACUUAUUUCAAAAAAAGAUCUUCGUAAAGGCUUUCAUCAGUUAAUAUGGCUAACCAUAAGCGGCCAGUCAAUAAUUUCAGAUACAAUAUCACUGCUAGAAAAUGCUAUAGGGGAUAGUAUAGAACUAGCAUCACUUUUUGCUGAUAUUCUUGCAGUUGCUGACACAGAAACAGUUUGCAUUGAAGAUAAGUCAUGCAGAGAGCAGUUCUUAUCUCUUCUUUCUGCAGUUAUCACAGUGGUUCCAGAUGGCGUUUUAAAAGAAAGGUUAGAUCCAGAAACGUUAGAGUCAGCUGGUUUUAUUCAGUCACAGAAAGUGUUCAAUCAAAAACUUGUGAGAACAAAGACAAAGUUAUUCUACAAACAGCAAAAGUACAAUCUUUUAAGAGAAGAGAGUGAAGGAUAUGCUAAGUUAAUUACAGAAUUAAGUCAAGACGUAUCACUUUCAAACCAGGCUUCAAUGCUUGAAAAUAUAAAAUCAUUACUGGGAUUUUUCAAUCUGGAUCCAAAUCGUGUGCUUGAUAUUUUAUUAGAAGCCUUUGAAUGUCAGGUAGAUGAGGAUUUGUUUUUCAUACCGCUAUUAACAAGUUACUUAUCACAUUGUGACAUCUCUGGUUUUUGUCAUCUUAUUGGUUUUAAAUUUCAGUAUUACCAUCAAUCAGUUGAUAGCAUUACUCCACAGUCGUUAUACAAAUUGGCAGCAUCAUUAUUGCGAAACAAUCUUUUAGAAAUGAGUGAUAUUUACCCUCAUCUUCAUCCAACAGAUAGUGAAAUACACAGUUUAAGCGAAAAAAUUACUGCUAAGGCAAAAGAAGAUGCAAAAAAAAUGAAUGCAAUUAUUUUAUCUGAAAAUGUUGAUUCAGAAGAUAAGUCUGAUAAAAAUGAUGAUGAUCUGAUUUUAAAAGACAACCAAAAAUUUGGGCUAUGCCAAGCUUUAUUGGAAAUAGGAGCAUGGAACCAAGCUUUAAAGAUCAUAAACCAACUUCCAAAUAGCUUACUAAUGAGUAAAUGCAAAAUUGCAAGUUCUUUAUGCCAUCUAAUUCAUUGCACUAUUGAACCUUUGUACAGAAGUAAAUUUAGCCCAAAAGGUGCCGUUGGAAAUGUCUAUAGAACCAAACGAGGUUUCCCUCAGCCAUGUUUACAAUACAGCCAGUUGUGUGAUUAUGUUUUUCCAAUGUUAUUUACUAUUGGUGUCCAGUUAUCUAUUGAUCCGAUACUAGUUGUGAAGAUUAUCAGAGUUGCUAAAGGAUUUAUGAAAGAGUACAAUCAGUUAACUGAAGCGCUGAAAGAAAAACAGAAAUGUGUUAUGGGAGGCAUUUUAACUUUGAUAGAUGAAGUUCUUUUUCCUGUGAUAUCUGUGCUUGAUUGCAACUGUGCAGUAGCUGAGGAAUUGUGGGGUCUUAUCAAAAGAUUGCCUUAUCAGCUAAGAUAUCGACUUUAUGCAUUAUGGAAAAACCAGACAUAUUCUGUUCAUCCAAAGCUCAUACUGGCUAAAGCGAAAAUCAUUAAACGAGCAAAAUAUAUUACAAAGCGCUUAUCUAAAGAAAAUGUGAAGCCAUCUGGACGUCAAAUUGGAAAAUUGAGCCAUAGCAACCCUGGAGUACUUUUUGACCAUUUGCUAGACCAGAUUCAAAGGUAUGAUAACUUUAUUGGGCCAAUGGUUGAUGCACUUAAAUAUCUUAACCCUCUUGCAUAUGAUGUGCUAGCAUUUUGUAUUAUUGAAGCAUUAGCAAAUCCUGAUAAACAACGAAUGAAGCAGUCUGAUACUAAUCUUUCUUACUGGAUGCAAAGUUUAUCACAAUUUUGUGGUGCUGUAUUUAAAAAAUAUCCCACAGAAAUUACUGGUUUGCUUCAAUACAUUGCUAACCAACUUAAAGAUGAGAAUAGUUUAGAUUUGCUGGUACUAAAAGAAGUUGUUCAAAAGAUGUCAGGUGUUGAAGCAAAUGAUGAAAUAACACCUCAACAACUUGAUGCCCUUUCUGGUGGGGAGCUUAUGAAAUCAGAGGGUGCAUAUUUCAGUCAAAUUCGAAAUACUCGAAAGCCAUCUUUGCGUUUACGUGAUGCCUUAAUGGAAGGAAAGUUGACUAUACCACUUUGUAUUCUGAUUGCACAACAAAGGAAUGCUGUUGUUUAUGUAGAAGAACAGCAACGUCACCUUAAAUUAAUCGGAAAACUAUAUGAUCAGUGUCAAGACAAUCUGAUUCAAUUUGGCGGUUUUCUCACAAUCCAGUUAAGCACUCAUGACUACCAGGCUAGCCUGCCAUCUUUAGAUGAGUUUCAUGAAACAUAUGGUUUAACUCCAGAUGUUUCAUUUUUCUUAACAAGACCUGUCUAUAAGUUUGAAAUACAGGAAAAGAUGGAGAUUUUAAAGCAGUCCAUAAGUCAACGCAAUGAUUUGACAUCUCAGAAAUUAAAGCAACAAGAAUUAGAAAAAUCUUUUUGUGAAACAUGUGACAACAUAUUUCGACCUGUGGUUGCUUCUGCUUUGCCAUUACAAACAAAUAAAAUUUGGGGAAAUUUAAGCCCUUUACUGUAUGUUACUUUUUGGUCAAUGACAAUGUACGAUUUAAAUGCACCAAAAAGUCGCUAUGAUGAUGAAAUCAGCAAAUUAGAAACAGCUAUAACAGAAGUAGAUGCUAGCAAAGAAAUAACUUCAAGUUCUAAAAGACGAAAAGAAAAAGAGCGAUGUCAGCUUUUAAUCGACAAAUUAAAGGAAGAGUUUCAAACUCAACUUGAGCACAACAAACUUAUUAGAAUAUGGCUCGAGUCAAAGAAAGAUGCAUGGUUUCCUUCAAAGAUGACAAAGGGAGAAAUGAUCACUCAAUUUUUACAACUCUGCAUUUUUCCAAGAUGUGUUUUUUCUGCUAUUGACGCUUUAUACUGUGCCAAAUUUAUACAAACUAUUCAUACGUUGCAAGCACCAAACUUUUCUACUCUCAUAUGUUUUGAUAGGACAUUUUCAGAUGUUUCGUAUAUUGUUGCAAGUCUGACAGAAAAUGAAGCAAGCCGUUAUGGUCGAUUUCUAUGUGCAAUGUUAGAAAUGGUAUCUCGAUGGCAUCAAAAUAAGCAACUUUAUGAAGAGGAGUGUGCUAAUGUCCCAGGAUUUUUGACAGUACUUCGGUUAACAAAUAAUGAGAAAGCCUCCUACUUAGAUUAUGAAAAUUUUCGUCAUGUUUGUUACAAAUGGCAGUAUAAACUUACUAAGGCUUUAAUAUUGGGGAUUGAAUCACAAGACUUUACACAAAUAAGAAACACAUUGUUAGUUUUGAUAAAGAUAUUGCCAUAUUACCCUCAAGUUCAGAAUCUGGGGCAGGCCCUGGAAAGAAGAAUCGAGAAAGUAAUUGAAGAAGAAAAAGAAAACCGCCAGGAUUUGCAGGCUCUAGCUAUUGGUUAUAAGGGAAUGCUCAAAACAAAAAAAGAAAAAAUGGUUCCUGAAAAUAAAUUUCAUGCAGAAAAUGAAAAGAAUUCAGUUAACAAAAACAAACCUGCUGUUAAGGCUAAUCUAAAACAAGAUGUAUCAGAUGACAGGACCUCAAAAGGUUUAAAAAGAGAAGAACUACCAAAACUCAGUGCUACAGAAAAGAGAACCAGCUCUCGAACAGACACUACCUCUGAUUCUACUGGUAAAAGUGAAAGAGAAAAAAUUGUUAUCGAGGAAAACAGCUAUGAAAGAAAAAAAGCAUCUAGCCACUCACCCCAUAAUAACUCAAGCAGUACAGAAAAAGUAGUCGAAGUCAGUAAUAGUAAAGAAAAUGGUGAGCGUUCUAAAGAAUCUGACAGAAUAAAAGAAAAAGAUGAUUGGUCAAAAGAAAAAAGAUCAAGAACUGAUUCUCCAACUAGUGAUGACCUAAAGAAGAGAAAACGUAUUUCAGAUGAUUCUCAUAAUGCUUCAAUAAAGAGAGACAAAUCAAAUGAGAAGAGGAAUGACAACAAAAGAAUUCAUAAGAAGCUUUCAGUUCACUAACAUCAUAAGAAGCUUUCAGCCCACAAACUUUAUUCUGUUCACAGAUUUAAAAGAAUCCUGAGAGAAAGGGUACAAUAUUCAAAUUGCAUGUUGCAGUGAGUUUUUUAUCAUCCCGCGAAUAUUUCUACUUAAUAUUACGUCUUAAAAGUCGAUUUUUUUUUUAUGAAUACGAGUUUGAAAGACGGACUAUAAAAUUGAUCACAUUUUAAACUGGUCAGUGUAAGUUAAUUAACUGCGUGUAUUAUGAUGACCUUGAGGAAGCUCAAAUAGACUUGGUCAGUCUGUUUUCCAAACAAAGAUUGAUUUUGUUUCUCAUUCAAAUUAUUACGUUCUAACUUUACCUAAAAUAAAGAAAAUUUUCUACCUACAGAUAUUAAAAAACCAAUAAAGAAAACAAUUAAAUUAUCGGCUCCAAGAUAUCAGUAAUAAAACCUUUCAAGUUAUUGAAUUGAUUUGGAUAUGAAAAUGGUACAUAAUGAUUAUUUUUUAAAUAAAAUUAUCAAGCUCGUUUUUAAAGAUUUCUAUGGCAAAAAAAUGUGCAAUAAAUGGAUUGCAGAAAUAACUUUCUUCAAACUUAAUUUAUUUAAUAGUAUUUUCUUCUACAGAAGUCUAUAUCGCUAAUGUACUUGGUGUUUAUUCUUUCCUUCUUUAAUAAAGCUCUGUGUUACUAUCACAGAUGAGAACUGAAAAUCAGAAAAGUUUAGUAAAUUAAAAACACUUUAAAUGAAGCAAUCUUCUGAACCAGAUUUAUCCGACUCUAAGAAAAGAAAGGAUGAAACUUCUGUAUCCGAAUCGAGUGAUCAAAGAAUAAAAAAAACUGAGGGUUUGAAACGUGAUAAAUCUAAAAAAGAUUACGAAAAAGACGACUCAAAGCAGCUUCGCAAA
This is a non-coding RNA of Hydra vulgaris (swiftwater hydra), 5046 nucleotides long. NCBI's taxonomy places the organism in Eukaryota, Metazoa, Cnidaria, Hydrozoa, Anthoathecata, Hydridae. The record is from RefSeq and is a predicted model, not a curated record.